AUUGAGAGUUUGAUCCUGGCUCAGGACGAACGCUGGCGGCGUGCCUAACACAUGCAAGUCGAGCGAUGAAGUUUCCUUCGGGAAAUGGAUUAGCGGCGGACGGGUGAGUAACACGUGGG
RNAcentral lists this ribosomal RNA (119 nucleotides) under Clostridium neonatale. RNAcentral's name for it is "partial 16S ribosomal RNA". It matches the Rfam family "Bacterial small subunit ribosomal RNA", at positions 1 to 121 of the family's 1533-position model. The record is from RNAcentral. Lineage: Bacteria; Bacillati; Bacillota; Clostridia; Eubacteriales; Clostridiaceae.